Sphingomonas sp. LH128 is the source of this 73-nucleotide non-coding RNA. NCBI's taxonomy places the organism in Bacteria, Pseudomonadati, Pseudomonadota, Alphaproteobacteria, Sphingomonadales, Sphingomonadaceae. The record is from Rfam.
UUUGCGGGCCGGGCCCCUCUGGCGCGGCGUGAUCGGGAACUUCCCUCACGCCUCGUGAUGUCGGACCGCAUCG